UUUGCAUGUUCCUACAUUAAACAUUAGUUUAUGUACUACAUCUACCAAUGUACAUGCCUACCUCUUGUCAUUUGUUUUUCUUGGCACUCAACCUUACAAAAGGCAAUGUCUUCGGGGAGAUUCAGACAGAGAGAUUCAGCUUCCCCAUGAAAUAAUAGCAACUGGUGAUUCUGCAUAUUUGAUGCUUUCACUGGUAUGCAGAUGGUUUAGGGAUGUGGUCACAAAUGAAAUUUUCCAGAAAGCAGCACACUUUGCCUGGCUGAACAGUGUGGUCAACUGGAAAAAAAUUUCUCCGGACUACUGUGAUGAGUUCCGCCGGAUCUACAGCUUCAGGGAAUGCUCAGAAUGCUUGGAGCUUUUCAAGUCCUAUCCACCAGGGUACAGGGGAAGAGGAAAACGAGGGGAACUGCUGGGCUUUUACUCUGAAGAUCUUUGUACAGGAUUUUGCUCGCAGGACUGUUUUUUUGCUGCAGGAAAUGAAUUUCUGUAAAACUCAAAACUUGUAGAUGGGAAUUGAGAGAUGAACUGGUUUUGAUGUAGUAAUUGAUGCAACUAAAAGUUAAACUUAAAGGUCAAACUUGAAAAAUUAGAAUAUUGUGCAAAAGUUCAUGUUCAGUAAUUUAAAAAAUUAAAAGGUGAAACUUAAUAUAUUUAGUAUAAAUAACUAUACAUGCAUAUGGCAUGAUUAUAUAUACUUUUCAGUUAUAUAUACUUUUCAGAGGGCUUGCAUUUUAGUGUUCAUCAAAAUUAUAACUUUUGCACGAUAUAAAUUUUUUUCGAGUUUCACCUGUAUAGUGUUCUAUUGAAAAGCUAUGGCAAAAACAUAGGUUUCACUAAUUGUGAAUAUGGUAAAGUACCUUGGUUCUUUAAGGUUUGCAUAAAUUACAUUCUGCUGAUGUAUAAGUGCAGUUUGGAGUCUAUAAUAAAGAAAAAGUGACAAA
Molecule: non-coding RNA, 941 nt
Organism: Pimephales promelas (fathead minnow)
Lineage: Eukaryota; Metazoa; Chordata; Actinopteri; Cypriniformes; Leuciscidae
Source: RefSeq, a predicted model, not a curated record